AUAAAUCAAUCAGUCAAAAUUUCCCUCACAUCUUUUCACGUGUGCUUUUCUCUCUAUUCAUAAACGUCUUAUUUAAUGAUUAUCGCAUUGAUAGUCUUUCAUCCGUUAUGAAAUCUCCAAAACAUUUAAUAAUUCUUUUAACAAGUUUUCUGUAUAUAUAAUCAUUCUUUUAUCUAGCCUCUGUAUCGAAUCUUAUAUCUACAGUAGCGUGAUCAGCCAAGCCUCAGUUUGUCGCAUUCAAGUAAUAUUACUGUUUAUAUCAUUCUCACCUGGGUGUGUAUUGGGUAUUAUUGCAGGUGUCAUUCAUCACAAUACACAUUUUAAUAUCUCUUUUUAGUUGACAGAUGAUAUGAGAACUGGGAAGUUAAAAUCUCGUAUCCAAUCAUUCCAUUUUUUUGUAAUCUGAAUGCAAAUUGAUUAAUAAUAGAUUUUUUUUUUACUUAACUUUAAAA
RNAcentral lists this long non-coding RNA (452 nucleotides) under Mytilus galloprovincialis (Mediterranean mussel). The record is from RNAcentral. Lineage: Eukaryota; Metazoa; Mollusca; Bivalvia; Mytilida; Mytilidae.